Long non-coding RNA from Cyprinus carpio carpio, 1608 nucleotides. NCBI's taxonomy places the organism in Eukaryota, Metazoa, Chordata, Actinopteri, Cypriniformes, Cyprinidae. The record is from Ensembl.
AUGCUGUACAUUCCUUAUCAACACAGUUUAAAGCAUUACUACUGUCUGUCGCUGCUUCAUCUAACGUGUUUCAUCAGGAAGUGUGUAGAAGAUGUAGUGCCGACAAAAACAAUCCACAUCUACCCCAACCAAAAACCGUGGAUUAAUAGCGAUGUUCGAGCAGCCUUGUCAGCGCGGACAUCCGCUUUUAAAUCCGGAAACGCUGAUGAUCGCAAACAAGCCAGUUACGAUCUCAGGAAAUCCAUCAAAGCCGCAAAAAGACAAUACAAAAACAAAGUUGAAGAACAAUUUAACGCAGCGAGAUUGUUCUUCAAGUUUUUUUUAUUUUACUGUUUGCUUCGUGAUGAGAGGAAUAAGACAUAAUUCACCCCAAAAAGAUGUGAUGUGGUUGAGGAUUUGAGAUUUGGAUUUCCUCAGAAAAAAAGAAUGAAGCACUUUAUUCAGCAGAGAUCAGAAACAUGAGUAAGUCUCUUUUUAUUUAUUUAUAUACUUGUACUAGUUUUCACAUAACGUGUAAACAUUUUUACUAGUUAGACUUUUUUUCCAAAGACUUUUUUUUUCAAACUAUAAUUCCUGACUAAAUGUAUAAUCAAGUGAAAUAUUAUGAAGUUUCAAUAACAAUAUACACUACUAUACCAUUCAAAAGCUUGAUGUAAAUAAUAUAAAUGUACCAAUAAAUGUAACUGCAACAAAUGUAACAAUCAUUGCUGUUCUUUCAAUUUAUCCCCCCUAAAAAACCUGAAAAAAAUAUUCUCAGCUCUUUUCAACAUUAAUAAUAAUAAUAAUGAUGAUGAUAAUAAUAACAAUAAAUGUUUUUUUUUUUUGUAGAAAAUAAGAUUGUUAAAAGGAUUUCUGAAGGAUUGUGUGACUGGAGUAAUGAUGCAAAAAAUUCAGUUUGAAAGUCAGCUUUGAUUUUUCCUAAUAAACUGUUUAACUGCACUCACAAGUGAAUAUUAAAUUAUGUUGUGGGAUAAUUAAAUAUAUUCUAAAUAAACUACAAACAUAAAAUUAUAUACAUUUAUUUUGUCCUCACAUUCUUUCUUGUAACUCACCCCUCUCAGUGACACAGCUGCCUGAAUGGCUCAUUAUGCAGCUCAUUAUGCAGGCCUUUGUCUUCUCAGGUGUGAAUUCAUGAUAGUUGACGCCUACUCGCAUAUGACUUUUACCAACAAAAAGUGUCUUAGAAAAUUUAAAUCAAUAUAUUGUUUUCUGUAAGUGAGUAAACAAGAUGAUUUCACAUCAUUUAGAAAAAAAAAUUCUAGGCUACAAGCUCCAGUUCUCAAAAUUCCUGGGAACCAAUUUUCUGUAUGUGUUUUAUUGCCUUUUUCAAGUGAUUUAACAUUUUUAGUUGUUCACUAACCACGCAUAACAUUUUUUUUCUCAAAAACACAAUCAUGUACAUACAUGCUGCUCACAUAUUAUUAUAGCCCAGUUUGUGCUGAUUACAGUGAGAUUAGACUUUAGCCAUUUAGAUAUUUAUAAGAAACUGAAAAAAGCACAAAUGUCAGGGCAUGACAAAACUUCUCCAGGCCCCAAAAAUACCCUUAGACACCAGAGGGUUAAUAGAGUUAUACAUGGUCCUUAGCAGUGCAGUUUUACUAGAAAUUA